RNAcentral lists this non-coding RNA (113 nucleotides) under unclassified sequences. The record is from RNAcentral.
AUAGGAUAAUAGUUCAUACCUUCUCGCGGUAUUCGGCGUAAAUAGUCAUAUGUCGUUUCGUCGACGAUGCCUGUACGAUGCCUAAACGACGCGUUGAUGAAACCAAACUGAAC